RNAcentral lists this ribosomal RNA (303 nucleotides) under Triticum aestivum (bread wheat). Its description in RNAcentral is "partial small subunit ribosomal RNA". The record is from RNAcentral. Lineage: Eukaryota; Viridiplantae; Streptophyta; Magnoliopsida; Poales; Poaceae.
AUGUGCUGCCUGCUUGCCUUUGGCUGUAGAACUAUAUGUAGGCACGUCAAACAAAUAAAAUCACACAUCACGUUCCACAGGGAGGAAAUAGGCAGAGCUGAUCGGAAGAAAAAUUGUGCUGCCUUUUAUGGUGGUUUUAACCAGUUGAAGGGUUUACUCCAAACUGGUGCUGAUCCGAGGAACACCGAGUUGACGAGGCGACCUUCUUUGUGGGCACGAAGCGCCAUGGGGGAGCUUGGUAGAGUGCAUAGUUGCACAUUAGUACUUCUACAUGGAAACACAAACUGCUCUAGCCAUACAUGA